ACAACUGUACGUGAGUGUUGUGUGGCAGAUUUGUGGUUAAGAGAAUUAUCAUGAGACUGUGUUUUUAGUUAAUGCAUUGUGAGAUUUGACACUUGGUAUCUAUGUGUUGGAUAAUUUCAAAUUUUAACGGAAAAGAUACGGUGGCUAAGUCUUCAUUAUGCUUUUCACUUAAUGUGUGCGCUGUCGUACUCGAUGAUUAGUUAGUUCACUUAAUGUGUGUGUUGUCGUACUUGAUGAUUUGUUUCACUUAAUGUGUGUGUUGUCGCACUCAAUGAUUAGUUAGUUCACUUAAUGUGUGCGUUGUCGUACUCAAUGAUUAGUUAGUCAUAGUGUUCGUUGUGUAGUUUAUUUUGUCGCAUCUCCCUUUUCGGCGGCGGUUUUAGUUAAGAUUGAAUUUAUAGAUUACAUGUUUAAUUGUAAAAAAAUCUAAUAUUGGAUAGUAAUACGUAAUGCUUAUGCAUGCAUUGUUAGAUUGCUUUGAAAAAGUUUGUGCGAAAUUAAAUCAAAAUGAUUUCUUUGCUUCGUUUAUCUAUGGCAUAAUUUGGAUUUGCCUGGAUAGUGAACAUUCUUUCUAAUCAUCGUUGAAGUUUUGGAAACAAAAAGUAUGUUAAGUUUUUCUGAAGAGCCUUGUUUGUCUGGUUUAAAUUUUUCAUUUUCUUGCAUAUUAUCAUAUCCAAUUAAUCCGUAUUAGAAUCUAAACCGUUAGGUUAUAUUUUGAUUCCCCUUUCUGUGUUUCUUUGUCCCUGACUUCCUGUGGAUACAAUAAGUUUGCACAAUUAAUCAAUUAUUUAAUGAAAUUUCUACAAUAUUGUUCUUCCCUUCAAUGAGGUUUUUGACCGACCGACGGG
RNAcentral lists this long non-coding RNA (848 nucleotides) under Trifolium pratense (red clover). RNAcentral's name for it is "long non-coding RNA (TPRA_LNC000855)". The record is from RNAcentral. Lineage: Eukaryota; Viridiplantae; Streptophyta; Magnoliopsida; Fabales; Fabaceae.